GAUGAACGCUGGCGGCGUGCCUAAUACAUGCAAGUCGAGCGAACAGACGAUGAGCUUGCUCCUCUGACGUUAGCGGCGGACGGGUGAGUAACACGUGGAUAACCUACCUAUAUGACUGGUAUAACUUCGGGAAACCGGAUCUAAUACCGUAUAACAUGUUGAACCGCAUGGUUCAACAGUGAAAUACGUUCUUUCUGUCUCUUAUAGAUUGAUCCGCGCCGCAUUAGCUAGUUGGUAAGGUAACGGCUUACCAAGGCAACGAUGCGUAGCCGACCUGAGAGGGUGAUCGGCCACACUGGAACUGAGACACGGUCCAGACUCCUACGGGAGGCAGCAGUAGGGAAUCUUCCGCAAUGGGCGAAAGCAUGACGGAGCAACGCCGCGUGAGUGAAGAAGGUCUUCGGAUCGUAAAACUCUGUUAUUAGGGAAGAAAAAAUGUGUAAGUAACUAUGCACGUAGUGACGGUAACAAAUAAGAAAGCAACGGCUAACUACGUG
This 497-nucleotide ribosomal RNA is filed under the name uncultured bacterium. RNAcentral describes it as "partial 16S ribosomal RNA". It matches the Rfam family "Bacterial small subunit ribosomal RNA", at positions 28 to 507 of the family's 1533-position model. The record is from RNAcentral.